AGUGGGGAAUAUUGCACAAUGGGCGGAAGCCUGAUGCAGCGACGCCGCGUGAGGGAUGACGGCCUUCGGGUUGUAAACCUCUUUCAGCAGGGACGAAGCGAAAGUGACGGUACCUGCAGAAGAAGCGCCGGCCAACUACGUGCCAGCAGCCGCGGUAAGACGUAGGGCGCGAGCGUUGUCCGGAUUUAUUGGGCGUAAAGAGCUCGUAGGCGGCUUGUUGCGUCGUCCGUGAAAACCUGGGGCUCAACUCCAGGCUUGCGGUCGAUACGGGCAGGCUAGAGUUCGGUAGGGGAGACUGGAAUUCCUGGUGUAGCGGUGAAAUGCGCAGAUAUCAGGAGGAACACCGGUGGCGAAGGCGGGUCUCUGGGCCGAUACUGACGCUGAGGAGCGAAAGCGUGGGGAGCGAA
This 407-nucleotide ribosomal RNA is filed under the name uncultured Catellatospora sp. RNAcentral describes it as "bacterial SSU rRNA". It matches the Rfam family "Bacterial small subunit ribosomal RNA", at positions 353 to 772 of the family's 1533-position model. The record is from RNAcentral. Lineage: Bacteria; Bacillati; Actinomycetota; Actinomycetes; Micromonosporales; Micromonosporaceae.